CGCGAGUGACAGCUACUGAAUCACCUGUGUGUCACAGGUGAUGUCGUAAGGGAAAAUAAUGAUAUCACCUUACUAAUAGUGUCGUCCAAAACUGGUGCCAGAAGACUCGGUAAGACCAGAGACGCAAACGUUAAUCAUCAUAAUCAGGCGUAAAGGGUUUGUAGGCCGCUUUGAAACGAUUGUUAUUGGCUAAAACAAUUUUAUUAGGAGCUAGAAUCUAAUAGAGGUUAUAAUUUGAGUAAUUCUUAGAGGAGGGAUGAUAUCUAUAGAUACUAAGAGGAAGGCUCAGGGCGAAAGCAUCUUUCCACUAAAGAUUGACGCUGAGAAACGAAAGUUGGGAUAGGAAAUAGGAUUAGAUACCCCGGUACUCCCUUCUGCUAACGAUGAAUGGUAGUCAUUAGGUAUUAGUGGCGAAGUUAACACGAUAACCAUUUCCGGCCCUUGUAAGUACGACUGGCAAAGGUUGAAAACAAAAAAAAUAAAAGUCGGUCUCCGAAAAGCAAACGAAGGUUGAAGCAUGUUAUUUAGACAAAAAAUAACCCC
RNAcentral lists this ribosomal RNA (543 nucleotides) under Skeletocutis rhizomorpha. RNAcentral's name for it is "SSU rRNA". It matches the Rfam family "Bacterial small subunit ribosomal RNA", at positions 398 to 977 of the family's 1533-position model. The record is from RNAcentral. Lineage: Eukaryota; Fungi; Basidiomycota; Agaricomycetes; Polyporales; Incrustoporiaceae.